RNAcentral lists this ribosomal RNA (276 nucleotides) under uncultured SAR86 cluster bacterium. Its description in RNAcentral is "partial 16S ribosomal RNA". It matches the Rfam family "Bacterial small subunit ribosomal RNA", at positions 1257 to 1532 of the family's 1533-position model. Lineage: Bacteria; Pseudomonadati; Pseudomonadota; Gammaproteobacteria. The record is from RNAcentral.
GCGAGGUGGUGCAAUCCUAGAAAAUUCUUCGUAGUCCGGAUUGGAGUCUGCAACUCGACUCCAUGAAGUCGGAAUCGCUAGUAAUCGCGAAUCAGCAUGUCGCGGUGAAUACGUUCUCGGGUCUUGUACACCACCGCCCGUCAUACCAUGGAAGUGGAUUGCACCAGAAGUAGAUAGUCUAACCUUAGGGAGGGCGUUUACCACGGUGUGCUUCAUGACUGGGGUAAAGUCGUAACAAGGUAGCCGUAGGGGAACCUGUGGCUGGAUCACCUCCUU